RNAcentral lists this ribosomal RNA (449 nucleotides) under uncultured bacterium. RNAcentral describes it as "partial 16S ribosomal RNA". It matches the Rfam family "Bacterial small subunit ribosomal RNA", at positions 29 to 523 of the family's 1533-position model. The record is from RNAcentral.
AACGAACGCUGGCGGCAGGCUUAACACAUGCAAGUCGAGCGCAUCCUUCGGGGUGAGCGGCAGACGGGUGAGUAACGCGUGGGAAUGUACCCUUUGCUACGGAAUAGCUCCGGGAAACUGGAAUUAAUACCGUAUGAGCCCUUCGGGGGAAAGAUUUAUCGGCAAAGGAUCAGCCCGCGUUGGAUUAGCUAGUUGGUGGGGUAAAGGCCUACCAAGGCGACGAUCCAUAGCUGGUCUGAGAGGAUGAUCAGCCACAUUGGGACUGAGACACGGCCCAAACUCCUACGGGAGGCAGCAGUGGGGAAUAUUGGACAAUGGGCGCAAGCCUGAUCCAGCCAUGCCGCGUGAGUGAUGAAGGCCCUAGGGUUGUAAAGCUCUUUCACCGGAGAAGAUAAAGACGGUAUCCGGAGAAGAAGCCCCGGCUAACUUCGUGCCAGCAGCCGCCGUAA